AUGAUCAUGUGGCCAUUUUGGUUUUUCUUCGUCAAUUCAAUCUCGUACCCUGUAAUUUGGUUCGUCGGAAAGAUACUAGCCGCACCUUUCCGACUUGUCAGUUGCACUAGCAAGUUUUGUAGCAGAGACUUCUUUGAUGAUAUUGUUGAUGUUUUAAGGAAGAUCUGGUCAGUAGGGAGUUUGUUGUAUCAAGGUGGUUCUGCAUCCAGAGCACUUGCGCUUACAUCUGAAACUACCAUUUGGGGAUCACUCUGGAAAGAUCUGUACCAGAUUUCAGUGCAGUCUGGAGCAUUUUGUAUGGUUUUGUUGUCUUCUUUUCAAUCGUGCAAUAGGCAUCGGCUCAGUCCGUCAUUCUGCAUCCAAUGGAUAAGGUAUCCCUCACAGGCCACUGGGGUAUCAUAUUUGUUGUGCCACUACUAUAAAUUCAUGAUAGUCGCAAUUCCCAUCUUCCAUGGAUGCCCCCAGGAGGACAUGGUGUAUGUGGAGGUGCAGUAUCUGAUUCUAACAAGGACGAAUGGAAGGCUGAAGGAAGAUUUUAGAGAUGGCAAAGGCGUCAGCAAGGACAUGAGACAAGAGUGCCACCAACCAACCUUGGAUUUGUUUCUGAGGCAAUGGUACAUGCCCUUUCAGGUCGAGUCAACAAUCUUCUACCUUUCUAUAGGCUCUUCACAUGCACAUACCUCUGCAGUGUAG
Molecule: ribosomal RNA, 693 nt
Filed under: Triticum aestivum (bread wheat)
Lineage: Eukaryota; Viridiplantae; Streptophyta; Magnoliopsida; Poales; Poaceae
Description: partial small subunit ribosomal RNA
Source: RNAcentral